RNAcentral lists this ribosomal RNA (425 nucleotides) under uncultured bacterium. RNAcentral's name for it is "bacterial SSU rRNA". It matches the Rfam family "Bacterial small subunit ribosomal RNA", at positions 355 to 775 of the family's 1533-position model. The record is from RNAcentral.
UCGAGGAUCUUCGGCAAUGGGCGCAAGCCUGACCGAGCGACGCCGCGUGUGGGAUGAAGGCCUUCGGGUUGUAAACCACUGUCAGAGGGGAUGAAAUGCCGUUGGGUACUCUCAGCGGUUUGACAGAUCCUCAGAGGAAGGGUGGGCUAAGUUCGUGCCAGCAGCCGCGGUAAGACGUACCACCCAAACGUUAUUCGGAAUCACUGGGCUUAAAGCGUCCGUAGGCGGUCAGGAAAGUUGGGUGUGAAAUCCCUCAGCUCAACUGAGGAAUUGCGCUCAAAACUACCUGGCUCGAGAAAGACAGAGGUGAGCGGAACUGAUGGUGGAGCGGUGAAAUGCAUUGAUAUCAUCAGGAACACCGGUGGCGAAAGCGGCUCACUGGGUCUUUUCUGACGCUGAUGGACGAAAGCUAGGGGAGCGAACGG